This 279-nucleotide ribosomal RNA is filed under the name Triticum aestivum (bread wheat). RNAcentral describes it as "partial small subunit ribosomal RNA". Lineage: Eukaryota; Viridiplantae; Streptophyta; Magnoliopsida; Poales; Poaceae. The record is from RNAcentral.
AUGGAGAGAUUGUACCAUGGAUGUGUGUCAUCAAGAACAAAUGAGUUUGUGGUUCGAUGUGUUCAUAUGUCUGUUGGAAAAAUACAAAUUAUGGAGUACUUCCUUGCUUUUUGGGUAGUGGAGGACACAUCUGGUUUGGAAAUUUUCAAGGUAUUGGUUGAUUCUAUGAAGUCCUUCGAUCUUAAUAUUGAUGAUAUUAGGGGCCAAGGUUAUGACAAUGCAUCCAACAUGAAAGGAAAAUACAAGGGGGCGCAAAGUCGGUUGCUUGAGAUUCAGUAA